Molecule: long non-coding RNA, 1236 nt
Filed under: Chloebia gouldiae (Gouldian finch)
Lineage: Eukaryota; Metazoa; Chordata; Aves; Passeriformes; Passeridae
Description: Erythrura gouldiae (Gouldian finch) lncRNA (ENSEGOG00005010849.1)
Source: RNAcentral
GGAAUGGGAUCAAGCCUGGCAGCUCCUGGGGGGCUCCGGGGUGCCGGGGGUUGAACGGAGCACCAUGGAAAAGCUCUGGAGCUGCCGGGACAGCCAGGAGCUCCUGUGGCUGCUCAGAAUUGAUCCCUGUGGCGCCGCCGGCUNNNNNNNNNNAGUGCCACCACCCCAGAGACAUAGUCCCAUCCCAAAAGACAGCCCCACCACACCAGAUGUCCCCGCCCUGAGAGAUGUGCCCACCAAAGGAUGUCCCUGAGUUUAAGAGGUGGCCUCACUCCAGAAGGUGUCUCCACACCAAGAGACGUUCCCACUCUGAGGAGUGUCCCCAUGCCGAGGGAUGUCCCCACCCCAAGAGAUGUCCCUGUGCAAAGGGAUGUCCCCACCCCAAGAGCUGAUGGCCCCACUGCAGGGAAUCUUGCAACCCCAAUUAAUGUUCACACCCACUGGCUGCCACACAAUGUGGUGACCCCGCCACCAUGGAUGUCCCCAUCCUAAGAGAUGUUGCACUCCGAGGCAUGUCCCCACUCCUGGAGAUAGAUGUCCCCACCCCAAGAGACGAUGGUCGCAUCAUGAUGUCCCACCCUAGGGAUGUCCCAGCUAAUGGAUGUCCCAUCCCAGCAACGUCUCAUCCCAGGGAUGUCCCACCUGGGACACCCAAGGCACACGACACACCAAGCUGAGGCCUGGGCAUGUUCCCACUGCCCGGUCCAGCCCCCCACCUUCCCAUUGCUGUCACCUGGAGCGUGGCCGGGGUCCCCACCCCGUGUCCCCCCAGGUGUGGUCCCACUACGAGGAGACGCCGGUGGAGGAGGUGGUGCCAGUGCUGGAGGAGAAGGAGCGCACGGCCAACUACAAACCCGUGUUCGUCACCGAGAUCACCGACGACCUCCACUUCUACGUGCAGGACGUGGAGACGGGUACCGUGCCCGGGUGGAGAAGGUGGAGUCGGGUGGGAAAGUGCACAUUUUCUACAUUGACUACGGCAACGUGAGUGUCACUGGGGAAACUGGGGGGGGAAACAGCCCUCUAUCCAUGGAUCCAUCCAUCCCUCCACCCAUCCAUCCAUCCACCAAUCCAUCAAUCCAUCCAUCAUCCAUCCAUCCAUCAUCCAUCCAUCCACCCACCCAUCCAUGCAUCCAUUCAUCCAUCCUCCAUCCAUUCCAUCCAUCCAUCAUCCAUCCAUCAUCCAUCCAUCCAUCCAUCAUCCAUCCAUCCAUCAUCCAUCCAUCCAUCAUCCAU